Drosophila arizonae is the source of this 323-nucleotide long non-coding RNA. The record is from RefSeq and is a predicted model, not a curated record. NCBI's taxonomy places the organism in Eukaryota, Metazoa, Arthropoda, Insecta, Diptera, Drosophilidae.
CAGAGAGUUUGAAGGACGAGAAGUCUGGAGAGCCUUCCAGGAGAGAAUCCGUUGCGGAGAAGUACUAAGCCCGAGAGUUUGAAGGACGACAAGUCGCUGCCCGUCUCCAAAGAACCUUCCCGCCCAAGCUCUGUUGUUGAGAGUGUGAAAGACGAGCAUGAGAAACCAGAAAGCGUUAGGGACGAAAAGUCUGGAGAGCCUUCCAGGAGAGAAUCUGCUGCGGAAAGUGUAAAACCCGACAGCUUGAAAGAUGAAAAGUCUAUACCUGUCUCUAAAGAACCUUCCCGCCCAAGUUCUGUUGCUGAAAGUGUGAAAGAUGAGCA